RNAcentral lists this ribosomal RNA (493 nucleotides) under uncultured bacterium. RNAcentral's name for it is "bacterial SSU rRNA". It matches the Rfam family "Bacterial small subunit ribosomal RNA", at positions 8 to 507 of the family's 1533-position model. The record is from RNAcentral.
AGAGUUUGAUCAUGGCUCAGGACGAACGCUGGCGGCGUGCUUAACACAUGCAAGUCGAGCGGAAAGGCCCUUUCGGGGGGUACUCGAGCGGCGAACGGGUGAGUAACACGUGAGUAAUCUGCCCUUGGCUUUGGGAUAACUACCGGAAACGGUGGCUAAUACCGGAUAUGACCAUGCUCGGCAUCGGGUGUGGUGGAAAGUUUUUUCGGCCAGGGAUGUGCUCGCGGCCUAUCAGCUUGUUGGUGGGGUAAUGGCCUACCAAGGCUUCGACGGUAGCCGGCCUGAGAGGGUGACCGGCCACACUGGGACUGAGACACGGCCCAGACUCCUACGGGAGGCAGCAGUGGGGAAUAUUGGACAAUGGGCGGAAGCCUGAUCCAGCAACGCCGCGUGAGGGAUGACGGCCUUCGGGUUGUAAACCUCUUUCAGUACCGACGAAGCGCCGAUGAUGGUGGUGACGGUAGGUACAGAAGAAGCACCGGCCAACUACGUG